This is a non-coding RNA of Pelobates cultripes (western spadefoot toad), 624 nucleotides long. Lineage: Eukaryota; Metazoa; Chordata; Amphibia; Anura; Pelobatidae. The record is from the annotation of a GenBank genome assembly.
GAGGGAGGGUCUGCCGGAGAUUGGCAGGGAUGUGUCAGCUGACCGGAGUUCGCCGCAAACGGUUCGCGGUGAACCGUUCGCGACAUCACUAUAUAUAUAAAAAUCUAAAUAUGUGGUCAAUAUCGGAAGAGGCUAUACCAAAUGAAUAUUUUAAAUCCAUAUUUGAAAAUUUUUAUGCAUACAGAAUUAUUUCCAACUGUCCAUAUUUUAGCUGUUUUACAGAGAACAGAGAAUUAAAAAUUUUAACUGUAAUAAAAAAAUUAAAAAUAAAAAGAUUUCACAAUUUGUUAAGAAUCACAAUUUGAUAAACAAAUUAAACUGUUAAAAUUUAAAUGUCAGACAUAAAGAACAACAUCUAAAUCGAACAUGUCCGAUCUGUCGAACUGUUCCACUUGUUAUUGGGUGUGGGGUACAUCACACUGACUUAACUUUUUCCAAAUAUUAAAACAGGUCUUGGAAUAUUAUUUUCUCAAACUUUCAUAUAGUAACCUAUGCUUAAAAAGUUAGUGGACUUAUUGGAAAGAGCAUGGUAAUAGCACACCAACAAGCAUAGGUUGUUUAUUUAUUAAAAUGCAGAAUAUAAUUUUGAAAUUAUUUUCCAUAAAAAGGAUAGGCAUACUAGAU